UGUCUAUGGCCAUAUCACCCCGAACACACCCAUUCUCGUCUGAUCUCGGAAGCUAAGCAGGGUCAGGCCUGGUUAGUACUUGGAUGGGAGAUUGAUACAAAAUUAAAACAAUCCCAGUGUAAUAACAC
RNAcentral lists this ribosomal RNA (128 nucleotides) under Octodon degus (degu). Lineage: Eukaryota; Metazoa; Chordata; Mammalia; Rodentia; Octodontidae. The record is from RNAcentral.